Molecule: long non-coding RNA, 506 nt
Filed under: Rhinopithecus bieti (black snub-nosed monkey)
Lineage: Eukaryota; Metazoa; Chordata; Mammalia; Primates; Cercopithecidae
Description: lncRNA (ENSRBIG00000045580.1)
Source: RNAcentral
UGAUGGGCUAUUCCUGUCCCAGGAGCACAUUCUGCCCCCAACCAUUUAUAAAGUCUAUUAAACUAGAACUCAAGAGGGAAGAGUAGACUCCUGUGCUCCAGAACAUGGGCAUCCCCAGAAAGCCAAGCUGAAGUCUAAAAGAUGCUCCCCACUCAUCAGUCUCCCUGUUCUUUUUGCCUAUGUGUCAUUCCAACUUGCAGAGAAGUAACUGAUGGCAGUAUUAUUAGUAUAUCAAGAAAUGGGAACUGCAGGAUUAUACAAUCAACUGCUGCAGGAAGAAUUUUACACAAUCAACUCACCUUCACCAUUUAUGAUCUUCCAUUUAUUUUAUUUUUUUCUUGUAUUCUCCUUGGAGAACAUCUGAUUGGAUGUUCUCAAUCACCAAAAAGUUGAUGAAAAUUAACAUUAAGAAUAAAAGAAGCCUCACUAACCCAUUUACACAAAUAGCCAAAUUUCACAAACAGACUAAUUAAUUACUGAAAAAUAAAGCGGACAAAUGAAGCAGA